Molecule: ribosomal RNA, 254 nt
Filed under: uncultured bacterium
Lineage: Bacteria
Description: partial 16S ribosomal RNA
Rfam family: Bacterial small subunit ribosomal RNA
Source: RNAcentral
UACGGAGACUGCAAGCGUUAUCCGGAUUUACUGGGUGUAAAGAGUUGCGUAGGCGGUUUAUUAAGUAAAGCAUUAAAGCGUGUGGCUUAACCAUACAGAUGUGCUUUAAACUGAUGAACUAGAGUGUAAGAGAGGUUACUGGAAUUUCUUGUGUAGGAGUGAAAUCCGUAGAUAUAAGAAGGAACACCGAUGGCGUAGGCAGGUAACUGGCUUACUACUGACGCUCAGGCACGAAAGCGUGGGGAGCGAACCGG